AGCACCGUAGUGUAAAGAGCACGUAAGAUUGCAAAUCCUCCAGAGCCACUUCUUUUUGGCCGGGGCUU
This 68-nucleotide transfer RNA is filed under the name Ensatina eschscholtzii (common Ensatina). Its description in RNAcentral is "tRNA-Cys". Lineage: Eukaryota; Metazoa; Chordata; Amphibia; Caudata; Plethodontidae. The record is from RNAcentral.